CGUGAAGGGGUGCCUUAAAAACAACGGGCUGAGAUCAUACCCUAUAACCUGAUCCGGGUAAUGCCGGCGUAGGUAGAAAGAUAAA
Molecule: non-coding RNA, 85 nt
Filed under: uncultured Odoribacter sp.
Lineage: Bacteria; Pseudomonadati; Bacteroidota; Bacteroidia; Bacteroidales; Odoribacteraceae
Source: RNAcentral